RNAcentral lists this transfer RNA (72 nucleotides) under Camelus bactrianus (Bactrian camel). It matches the Rfam family "tRNA". From Rfam's summary of the family: Transfer RNA (tRNA) molecules are approximately 80 nucleotides in length. Their secondary structure includes four short double-helical elements and three loops (D, anti-codon, and T loops). Further hydrogen bonds mediate the characteristic L-shaped molecular structure. tRNAs have two regions of fundamental functional importance: the anti-codon, which is responsible for specific mRNA codon recognition, and the 3' end, to which the tRNAs corresponding amino acid is attached (by aminoacyl-tRNA synthetases). tRNAs cope with the degeneracy of the genetic code in two manners: having more than one tRNA (with a specific anti-codon) for a particular amino acid; and 'wobble' base-pairing, i.e. permitting non-standard base-pairing at the 3rd anti-codon position. RNAcentral also lists the same sequence under 2 other names. The record is from Rfam by way of RNAcentral. Lineage: Eukaryota; Metazoa; Chordata; Mammalia; Artiodactyla; Camelidae.
GUGGGUAUAGCUCAGUGGUAAAGCACAUGCUUAGCAUGCACGAGGUCCUGGGCUCAAUCCCCAGUGCCUCCA